This 492-nucleotide ribosomal RNA is filed under the name uncultured bacterium. RNAcentral's name for it is "partial 16S ribosomal RNA". It matches the Rfam family "Bacterial small subunit ribosomal RNA", at positions 29 to 507 of the family's 1533-position model. The record is from RNAcentral.
AGUGAACGCUGGCGGUAGGCCUAACACAUGCAAGUCGAACGGCAGCACAGUAAGAGCUUGCUCUUACGGGUGGCGCGUGGCGGACGGGUGAGGAAUACAUCGGAAUCUACUUUUUCGUGGGGGAUAACGUAGGGAAACUUACGCUAAUACCGCAUACGACCUACGGGUGAAAGCAGGGGAUCUUCGGACCUUGCGCGAUUGAAUGAGCCGAUGUCGGCUUAGCUAGUUGGCGGGGUAAAGGCCCACCAAGGCGACGAUCCGUAGCUGGUCUGAGAGGAUGAUCAGCCACACUGGAACUGAGACACGGUCCGGACUCCUACGGGAGGCAGCAGUGGGGAAUAUUGGACAAAGGGCGCAAGCCUGAUCCAGCCAUACCGCGUGGGUGAAGAAGGCCUUCGGGUUGUAAAGCCCUUUUGUUGGGAAAGAAAAGCAGCAGGUUAAUACCCCGCUGUUCUGACGGUACCCAAAGAAUAAGCACCGGCUAACUUCGUG